UACGUAGGGUGCGAGCGUUGCCCGGAUUUAUUGGGCGUAAAGGGCGCGUAGGCGGCCACGCACGUCCGUUGUGAAAUCGCUCGGCUCAACUGGGCGGGGUCAGCGGAUACGGAGUGGCUGGAGCAAGCUAGGGGGCAAUGGAAUUCCCGGUGUAGUAGUGGAAUGCGUAGAUAUCGGGAGGAACACCAGUGGCGAAGGCGGUUGCCUGGAGCUUUGCUGACGCUGAUGCGCGAAAGCGUGGGGAGCGAUCCGG
Molecule: ribosomal RNA, 253 nt
Filed under: uncultured bacterium
Lineage: Bacteria
Description: partial 16S ribosomal RNA
Rfam family: Bacterial small subunit ribosomal RNA
Source: RNAcentral